RNAcentral lists this ribosomal RNA (490 nucleotides) under uncultured bacterium. Its description in RNAcentral is "bacterial SSU rRNA". It matches the Rfam family "Bacterial small subunit ribosomal RNA", at positions 1 to 518 of the family's 1533-position model. The record is from RNAcentral.
GGUUAGUUAGUACUACUGGCUCAGGACAAACGCUGGCGGCGUGCCUAACACAUGCAAGUCGAACGGACCCUUCGGGGUUAGUGGCAGACGGGUGAGUAACACGUAGGUAAUGUACCUUCUUGCUGGGGAUACCUACCCGAAAGGGUGGUUAAUACCGAAUGGUCUCGCGCUGCGGCAUCGCGGUGCGAGUAAAGUGAUUUAGCGCGAGAGGAUCAGCCUGCGGGCCAUCAGCUGGUUGGUGGGGUAACGGCCUACCAAGGCAUCGACGGUUAGCCGGUCUGAGAGGAUGAUCGGCCACACUGGAACUGAGAGACGGUCCAGACUCCUACGGGAGGCAGCAGUGAGGAAUAUUGCGCAAUGGGCGGAAGCCUGACGCAAGCGACGCCGCGUGAGGGAUGAAGGUUUUCGGAUCGUAAACCUCUGUUAAGCAGGGAAGAGAACGGACGGUACCUGCUGAGGAAGCAUCGGCUUACUACGUGCCAGCAGCUGC